UUGACGGGGCCCGCACAAGCGGAGGAACAUGUGGUUUAAUUCGAUGAUACGCGAGGAACCUUACCUGGGCUUAAAUGUAGAGUGCAUUUUUUAGAGAUAGAAAUUCCCUUCGGGGCUUUCUGCAAGGUGCUGCAUGGUUGUCGUCAGCUCGUGCCGUGAGGUGUCGGGUUAAGUCCCAUAACGAGCGCAACCCUUAUCGUUAGUUGCCAUCUGGUAAUGCAGGGGACUCUAGCGAAACUGCCACCGUAAGGUGAGAGGAAGGUGGGGAUGGCGUCAAAUCAGCACGGCCCUUAUGUCCAGGGCUACACACGUGUUACAAUGGUCGGUACAGAGGGCAGCUACCUGGUGACAGGAUGCUAAUCUCGAAAACCGGUCUCAGUUCGGAUCGAAGUCUGCAACUCGACUUCGUGAAGCUGGAUUCGCUAGUAAUCGCGCAUCAGCUAUGGCGCGGUGAAUACGUUCCCGGGCCUU
This 471-nucleotide ribosomal RNA is filed under the name uncultured Sphingobacteriales bacterium. RNAcentral's name for it is "bacterial SSU rRNA". It matches the Rfam family "Bacterial small subunit ribosomal RNA", at positions 910 to 1382 of the family's 1533-position model. Lineage: Bacteria; Pseudomonadati; Bacteroidota; Sphingobacteriia; Sphingobacteriales. The record is from RNAcentral.